UUGUACAUAGAAGCCUAAGGAUGGAUUCUUCAGGUCACCCUUUUCUUAAAGCCUAAUCCAUCUAUAUGCACGGAGAACACCAGGAAGGACACCACCUUUGUCAGCAAUGAGCUGAAAGUCUUUUUAUGAAAUUAGGCAAUCAGAGAAAGGGGCACGGAGCACCCUUACUAAUAAUCACGGCAUCAAUAUCAACUCUCUGCAACAAUUCACAAGAUCGAAAGGGCCAUUACCGCACCUACCUACAAGGUCUUUCUCUCUCCAGAACUCACAGUGUGAUCAUCAUGUUUUCUGAUACUGUCAUGAAAGGAGGUGGAAAAAAAGCCACUGACAUUUAUUGCAUAGGAUUAAGCUGACGUCGCAAGGGAAAUUUAGUCGUUCCUCAGCUGGUAAAAAACCAUUCUGUAGGAAGGCCUAGAAAGUGAUCGUCUGUUUACAUGCAUGUCUCGGCUAGAACAGAGUGGCUAAGUGUUGGUCUCUCUGACUGUCUCUCUCUGUCUGCCUGUCUGUUUUUAAAAUGUCAGAGUGAAGAGCUCCAUGCUCUCUGUUUUGGCCGAUCCCCCACGCCCAUCCGUGCAGGGUUUGGCAGCUGAAAUACCCAGGGAUUCCCCCAGCACUCCAUGACCAAGCUUAUCCCAGCACCAUUUCCCUGUGGCUCAAAGGGUCUCCGUUUCAGACUUGUUAACGGUAGCUCCUUCUGAGUCCCUAUCCCCAUGGCAACACCGAGGUCAGACCUUACGAACUUCGGAGCAGAAGGCGGCCGAAACAGUGAUUCAGAUUUCACUGAUUUUUUGCUAGCUCUUACAUCUCACGUAUAUAUGCAACCUCAUACCCAACCUUCUUACCUCCAGCCACAGAUGUGUCUAUCAUCCAUGCUAAAUGCAACCAGAAAAAGGGAAAAGAGCCUCCACCAAAUCACUGUCUUUUAUCUGACCCUGAAGAAAUAAACGGGAAUAAAAUGAAUCAAAAAAGAAAGAUUGUAGGGGCGCCUUGGUACCUCAGUGGUUAAGCAUCCGACUCUUGGGCUCGGCUCAGGUCACGGUCUCGCGGUCCGUGGGUGUGAGCCUGCACUGAGCUCUGCAUAGGCCGUGCAGAGGCUACUUGAGAUUCUUCCUCUCCUCUCUCUGCCCCCUCCCUCAAAACAAAUAAAUAAACUUU
Molecule: long non-coding RNA, 1155 nt
Organism: Felis catus (domestic cat)
Lineage: Eukaryota; Metazoa; Chordata; Mammalia; Carnivora; Felidae
Exons: 2
Source: RefSeq, a predicted model, not a curated record